RNAcentral lists this microRNA precursor (103 nucleotides) under Myotis lucifugus (little brown bat). RNAcentral describes it as "miRNA (ENSMLUG00000030042.1)". The record is from RNAcentral. Lineage: Eukaryota; Metazoa; Chordata; Mammalia; Chiroptera; Vespertilionidae.
UUAAUUUCAUAGUUUGUCAUCUAAACAGUCCUGGAUGCUUCUUACAAAGUGUUUUCCUGUUUUCCUGUAUUUUUAAGGAAAAUUGAAAGUCAUAAGCAUCAUU